Molecule: unclassified non-coding RNA, 346 nt
Filed under: soil metagenome
Description: partial contains 5.8S ribosomal RNA, internal transcribed spacer 2, and large subunit ribosomal RNA
Rfam family: 5.8S ribosomal RNA (bases 1-120)
Source: RNAcentral
GAUGAAGAACGCAGCGAAAUGCGAUACGUAAUGUGAAUUGCAGAAUUCAGUGAAUCAUCGAGUCUUUGAACGCACAUUGCGCCCCCUGGUAUUCCGGGGAGCAUGCCUGUCCGAGCGUCAUUGCUGCCCUCAAGCCCGGCUUGUGUGUUGGGUCUCGUCCCCCUUCCCGGGGGGACGGGCCCGAAAGGCAGCGGCGGCACCGCGUCCGGUCCUCGAGCGUAUGGGGCUUUGUCACCCGCUCUGUAGGCCCGGCCGGCGCUUGCCGAUCAACCAAAACUUUUUUCCAGGUUGACCUCGGAUCAGGUAGGGAUACCCGCUGAACUUAAGCAUAUCAAUAAGCGGAGGA